CCUACGGGAGGCAGCAGUGGGGAAUAUUGCACAAUGGGGGAAACCCUGAUGCAGCGACGCCGCGUGAGUGAAGAAGUAUUUCGGUAUGUAAAGCUCUGUCAGCAGGGAAGAAAAUGACGGUACCUGACCAAGAAGCCCCGGCUCACUACGUGCCAGCAGCCGCGGUAAUACGUAGGGGGCAAGCGUUCUCCGGGUGUAAUGGGGGUAAAGGGAGCGUAGACGGCAGGGCAAGUCUGGAGUGAAAGGCGGGGGCUCAACCCCCGGACUGCUCUGGAAACUGCCAGGCUGGAGUGCUGGAGAGGUAAGUGGAAUUCCUAGUGUAGCGGUGAAAUGCGUAGACAGUAGGAGGAACACCAGUGGCGAAGGCGGCUUACUGGACUGUAACUGACGUUGAGGCUCGAAAGCGUGGGGAGCAAACAGGAUUAGAUACCCGAGUAGUC
RNAcentral lists this ribosomal RNA (440 nucleotides) under uncultured bacterium. RNAcentral's name for it is "partial 16S ribosomal RNA". It matches the Rfam family "Bacterial small subunit ribosomal RNA", at positions 338 to 795 of the family's 1533-position model. The record is from RNAcentral.